RNAcentral lists this ribosomal RNA (253 nucleotides) under uncultured bacterium. RNAcentral describes it as "partial 16S ribosomal RNA". It matches the Rfam family "Bacterial small subunit ribosomal RNA", at positions 524 to 775 of the family's 1533-position model. The record is from RNAcentral.
GACGUAGGGCGCGAGCGUUGUCCGGAUUUAUUGGGCGUAAAGAGCUCGUAGGCGGCUUGUUGCGUCAGCUGUGAAAACCCGCAGCUCAACUGUGGGCUUGCAGCUGAUACGGGCAGGCUUGAGUUCGGCAGGGGAGACUGGAAUUCCUGGUGUAGCGGUGAAAUGCGCAGAUAUCAGGAGGAACACCGGUGGCGAAGGCGGGUCUCUGGGCAGUAACUGACCGUGGAGGAACGAAAGCGUGGGGAGCAACAGG